UACGUAGGGUGCGAGCGUUAAUCGGAAUUACUGGGCGUAAAGCGUGCGCAGGCGGUCCGCAAAGUCUGAUGUGAAAAGCCCCGGGCUCAACCUGGGGAACUGCAUUGGAAACUAACGGGCUCGAGUGUGGCAGAGGGGGAUGGAAUUCCGCGUGUAGCAGUGAAAUGCGUAGAUAUGCGGAGGAACACCGAUGGCGAAGGCAAUCCCCUGGGCCUGCACUGACGCUCAUGCACGAAAGCGUGGGGAGCAAACAGG
This 255-nucleotide ribosomal RNA is filed under the name uncultured bacterium. RNAcentral's name for it is "partial 16S ribosomal RNA". It matches the Rfam family "Bacterial small subunit ribosomal RNA", at positions 524 to 776 of the family's 1533-position model. The record is from RNAcentral.